GUGACCUCAAAUCAGGUAGGACUACCCGCUGAACUUAAGCAUAUCAAUAAGCGGAGGAAAAGAAACUAACAAGGAUUCCCCUAGUAACUGCGAGUGAAGCGGGAAAAGCUCAAAUUUAAAAUCUGGCGGUCUUUUGGCUGUCCGAGUUGUAAUCUAGAGAAGUGUUAUCCGCGCUGGACCGUGUACAAGUCUCCUGGAAUGGAGCAUCAUAGAGGGUGAGAAUCCCGUCUUUGACAUGGACUGCCAGGGCUUUGUGAUGCGCUCUCAAAGAGUCGAGUUGUUUGGGAAUGCAGCUCAAAAUGGGUGGUAAAUUCCAUCUAAAGCUAAAUAUUGGCGAGAGACCGAUAGCGAACAAG
Molecule: ribosomal RNA, 356 nt
Filed under: uncultured Cortinarius
Lineage: Eukaryota; Fungi; Basidiomycota; Agaricomycetes; Agaricales; Cortinariaceae
Description: eukaryotic LSU rRNA
Rfam family: Eukaryotic large subunit ribosomal RNA
Source: RNAcentral